This 399-nucleotide unclassified non-coding RNA is filed under the name soil metagenome. RNAcentral's name for it is "partial contains 5.8S ribosomal RNA, internal transcribed spacer 2, and large subunit ribosomal RNA". The stretch from base 1 to 122 matches the Rfam family "5.8S ribosomal RNA", at positions 35 to 154 of the family's 154-position model. The record is from RNAcentral.
GAUGAAGAACGCAGCGAAAUGCGAUACUUGGUGUGAAUUGCAGAAUCCCGUGAACCAUCGAGUCUUUGAACGCAAGUUGCGCCUCAAGCCAUUAGGUUGAGGGCACGUCUGCCUGGGCGUCACAUAUCGUUGCCUGAUGCCAGUUUCCUCGUGAUGGAUGACUGUGCAGGGCGAAUGAUGGCUUCCCGUGAGCAUUGUUGCCUCAUGGUUGGUUGAAAAUUGAGUCCUUGGUAGGGAGCGCCGUGAUAGAUGGUGGUUGAGUGACGAACGAGACCCAAUCAUGUGAGACCCCUACCGAAUUUGGCCUUCAUGACCCACAUGCGUCUUUGGAACGCUCAUGACGAGACCUCAGGUCAGGCGGGGCUACCCGCUGAGUUUAAGCAUAUCAAUAAGCGGAGG